ACGCUGGCGGCAGGCCUAACACAUGCAAGUCGAGCGGUAGAGAGAAGCUUGCUUCUCUUGAGAGCGGCGGACGGGUGAGUAAUGCCUAGGAAUCUGCCUGGUAGUGGGGGAUAACGUUCGGAAACGGACGCUAAUACCGCAUACGUCCUACGGGAGAAAGCAGGGGACCUUCGGGCCUUGCGCUAUCAGAUGAGCCUAGGUCGGAUUAGCUAGUUGGUGGGGUAAUGGCUCACCAAGGCGACGAUCCGUAACUGGUCUGAGAGGAUGAUCAGUCACACUGGAACUGAGACACGGUCCAGACUCCUACGGGAGGCAGCAGUGGGGAAUAUUGGACAAUGGGCGAAAGCCUGAUCCAGCCAUGCCGCGUGUGUGAAGAAGGUCUUCGGAUUGUAAAGCACUUUAAGUUGGGAGGAAGGGCAGUUGCCUAAUACGUAACUGUUUUGACGUUACCGACAGAAUAAGCACCGGCUAACUCUGUGCCAGCAGCCGCGGUAAUACAGAGGGUGCAAGCGUUAAUCGGAAUUACUGGGCGUAAGGCGCGCGUAGGUGGUUUGUUAAGUUGGAUGUGAAAUCCCCGGGCUCAACCUGGGAACUGCAUUCAAAACUGACUGACUAGAGUAUGGUAGAGGGUGGUGGAAUUUCCUGUGUAGCGGUGAAAUGCGUAGAUAUAGGAAGGAACACCAGUGGCGAAGGCGACCACCUGGACUGAUACUGACACUGAGGUGCGAAAGCGUGGGGAGCAAAC
Molecule: ribosomal RNA, 745 nt
Filed under: uncultured bacterium
Lineage: Bacteria
Description: bacterial SSU rRNA
Rfam family: Bacterial small subunit ribosomal RNA
Source: RNAcentral